Molecule: ribosomal RNA, 426 nt
Filed under: uncultured bacterium
Lineage: Bacteria
Description: bacterial SSU rRNA
Rfam family: Bacterial small subunit ribosomal RNA
Source: RNAcentral
UGGGGAAUUUUGGACAAUGGGGGCAACCCUGAUCCAGCCAUCCCGCGUGUGCGAUGAAGGCCUUCGGGUUGUAAAGCACUUUUGGCAGGGAAGAAACGGCGCGGGCGAAUAACCCGCGCAACUGACGGUACCUGCAGAAUAAGCACCGGCUAACUACGUGCCAGCAGCCGCGGUAAUACGUAGGGGGCAAGCGUUGUCCGGAUUUAUUGGGCGUAAAGAGCGUGUAGGCGGCCAGAUAAGUCUGCUGUGAAAACUCGAGGCUCAACCUCGAGCUGUCGGCGGAAACUAUUUGGCUAGAGUCCGGAAGAGGAAAGCGGAAUUCCUGGUGUAGCGGUGAAAUGCGCAGAUAUCAGGAAGAACACCCGUGGCGAAGGCGGCUUUCUGGGACGGUACUGACGCUGAGACGCGAAAGCGUGGGGAGCGAAC